Molecule: ribosomal RNA, 223 nt
Filed under: uncultured bacterium
Lineage: Bacteria
Description: partial 16S ribosomal RNA
Rfam family: Bacterial small subunit ribosomal RNA
Source: RNAcentral
AGUAACACGUAGGUAACCUGCCCUGCAGUGGGGGAUACCCAGUCGAAAGACUGGCUAAUACCGCAUUCGCUCGUUAGUUGAAAUACUAACGAGGAAAGAUUUAUCGCUGGAGGAGGGGCCUGGGUCCGAUUAGCUAGUUGGUGAGGUAAUGGCUCACCAAGGCGACGAUCGGUAGCUGGUCUGAGAGGACGAUCAGCCACACUGGAACUGAGACACGGUCCAG